This is a non-coding RNA of Rhincodon typus (whale shark), 237 nucleotides long. Lineage: Eukaryota; Metazoa; Chordata; Chondrichthyes; Orectolobiformes; Rhincodontidae. The record is from RefSeq and is a predicted model, not a curated record.
AGUCUGCAUGGAACUAUGCAGGGAGUAAGCAAAUGUACACCAUCACAGCAGUAUAUAACUUGCAGUUACCUCUGGCCCACUCCUUUACCACACUCAUGGACUCCUGUUGUCACGGAGAUGCUGGCUUCACCAGUGCCUUCAUCGAUCGCCAAACAGGAAGAGUAAAGUGUGCCAGUCCUAGAUAUUGUUGGUGAAACGAGAGCACGGUUCUGUCAGACACUGAAGGCUGGUACAUGU